AAUAAAUUUCACAUUUAAGGCAUUUUUUUCGCGCCGUAAAUAAGCAAUAAACUUCCCGCCAAAACUUUUUCACUCCCCACCGAAAACUUUCACUUCCUGGAUUAUUUUUUAUUUUUAUUUGUUUAUUUUUUGUUUUUUUGUUAUAUCGAACAGCUAUAUAUACCAGAAAAAAAAAAAAAGAAAAAAAAGAAGAACUUAGGGAUUCAGAGUGUGGAAAGAGAGAGACCCGAAUCUUUCAUCUAUCGAUUUUAACCGUGUUGAUGCCAGUAAUUUGAGAAAGAAAGCUUGAUUUCCUAAAGUCGUCUUUCUCAGAUUGGGCUCCCGACGGUGUCGAUCAUUCCGUUACCGACCAGUGAAGAGGUUAGGGUUUUCAACUAGCGACCAAAAAUUGAAGUUGAGGAGAGCCACCAUGGACGACGUCUCCGAGGAAGGAAAAAAGUAGCCUUGGUGGGUGUUGCUGUAUUUAUUGGCCUGAACUAGCUUUUGCUACAAGAAGGGAGAACCAACCCCUUCAUUAAGUGCCAGGUUGCUAGAAAAAAUAAUUAAGCAAAUAGUGAUGGAUAAAGAAUGGAUGCACAUGACUUACAGGUUAUUGAUUGAUUAUCACCAGUUCAUAAGGAGCUGAAGAAUCAGAAUUUCUAUGAUUUCAGUCUACAACAAAGGUCAAAUACUAUGCUUCUUUUAUGAUUGCACAAUUUUAAUGCUUUUUAGACUCAUACUUAGGGGGGUCACGUGCGUUUAAGUGACCAAUUUUGCAGUGUAUCUUGAACUUUAUUACCUCAUUGGUACAUCGGCUGGUGUGGAGGCCAUUUUUAUUUCUUAUUUUAAAAUGUUGAAGGCAUGGGAGUAUGGAAUCAUCGUAUGUGGAGGUUUUGAUUGAUUGUUGUGGAGGAGAAGUUGUUGAUAUGUUGUUAAUUCACUUGUUUUGGUAGAUUAUUUGUAAUCACCUUGGCAAUUCACAGAUCAUCAUGUCAGCCUUGUCCCUAGGAAAAAAUAAAAAUUCACCUCCUUCAUCUCUCUCGAACCCACAAUGCUCAAGAAACUCAAUGCCUUCUUUCAAUUUCCCAACUCUUUCCUGUUAUUUAGAACACAAAUUAAUCCGUUAGUUUGUUAUGAAACAGAAAAUUCCAUUAAUUUGGCAGAACUUCGUAAACUUAGUAAAGAGUCACUGCUUGGUGCAACAGUAAAUAUUAAACAAUCACUUGCCCAAAAGUCCCAGAAGCAAUUGAUUGUCCAUCAUGAAUAAUGAACAAGCCAGGAGCUAGAUUAGCUUAAAUGGAUCCUCAAAUUUAUCAAUCUAAGAGAGCAAACUGUUUACAAACUCUACAUCAAUUAUGAUGGUUUGAGGAAAAAGCUAGGGAUGAUGGUUAGCAGUUAUAUACUUAUUCCUUUAUAUGUAUGGGUCAACGAUUGGUGCAUGGUAACGCUAUGUAGGUUUGACUCAGAGCUGUUACUGAUUAAAACAAGAUAAUGAAGGGAUUAGUCAGGUGGGGUAGUUUAUCUUUACGUGUGUGUAGUUAUAUCUACACAUAUAAUAGAAAAACCCAUUAGAUUUUCUAGAAAUUAAAGAUUUUAUUGGUAUCCAGAGGCAGCACAAGAGGAAAGGGUCAUUUAAACGGUGCAUCUUAUGUGUUGAAAAUGUAGACGAAGGGACAUUUUUGUCAAAUUUUUUAUGUGCAUGCUAACAGUAACUCAACGAUUGAGCUUUUAGGAUAAAAUAAAUCAAUUAUUGGGUCUUUUGGAUGUAAAAAUAUUUUUCAGGGUUUUAGCAUUUAAAAAAAUUAAACAAAUAGAAACAUUUUGCGAUAUUUUUUCCAAGAAAGGAAACUACUUUUUAUUGAUAAUGGUAAUUGUAUGCAGUACACAUGCAUAUAUAUGUCUAUAUCUAUGCAUUAUUUUAGAAUUUUAGUGACCCUCCCUGUUCUUUCCGUUGAAGGAAUAUUGGAUUCACCAUUGAAUUGAGGCACAAUGUCGGGGGCAUAUUAUAGAUCCAUCCAUCCAUCCAUCCCUCUAUCUUCUUUUUCUUUUGCUAUAUUUUGGAACUCCAAAAUACAUUGUCAACUAAGAGUUGGCCAAAUGGUCAGAAAAAAAGUUGGAGAAAAUUCGCGUCUAGUACCAACCUUAGAUUUCCCACCUACUGGAUAUUUGAACCUUUCAGAGGGCAGAUUAUUUCUGCAUCAUUUAUAUCAACAAAAUCUAUAAAAUUAGAGACUUACCUUGAAGGCUGGAUUAUAUAGUCGGAUCUUCCAAAAUUUUUCCUCUUUAGGAUUAUUUGCAACAUUUCUGACAUAUAUCAAAAGAGUUUGGAAUGCCCUCUUCGCUUUCACAUCAUCAUCCUAGAUCCAACAAAAAAAGAGGGAGGGGGCUCAUAGAAAGUAAUACGUAUAUAAAACAAAGUUGCAAAAUAAUAAAGGAUGUUGCACGUUUACUUUGAAUCAAAAGCACCUUUCUGUUAAUGAUCAUUGUCCUAUUCUGAGUGAUUUUAUCCUAACACCCUCUAAAAUAGGAUUUUCUGUAUAUGCAUAAACUUAAAUUUAUUCAUAGAAAUGAACACCCAUUUAAUUUCUAACAAGCAUGCCAGAUGAGCAAUGAAGGUAAAAUGUUCAUAACAAAAGUUAUAAGAAGGUUGUACAGUUACAACAAAAGUAACCUCUCCCUGAGAAGUACAAGCAUUAUAUACUGCAAUGAGAAAAAGGUUCAAUAUUCAGAAAACUUACGACUACCUCUUUAUCAUUCUAUAUCAGUUUAUGCUAUUAUGUCACUGUAGCAACAACAAGCAGUCUAUAUUCGUUUAUAUUUUCAGACUCAUGAUUAUCCUACUACAAGCUACCAUGACAUGACACAAAACAGAAUCAUUUACCAUGUGGUUGUGCUUGAGAGAUCUUAAACAGUCUCUCAUGAGCUCUGCUUUUGUAGCAAUAGAAGGCAACGUAGCAGACCAAACUGGCACCGAGUUCUGCAAAAUGGGAGAACACUUAUAACAAUUCAAGUUCUAUCGGACUGCUGUAAUCUUUGAAUAAAUAAAUAUGAUAUCAAAUAUCCAAACCUUUUCUUCCUGCAUUAUAGGUGUGGUAGAUUUUAAAGCUGCAGGACCUUCUGGAGGCAACCCAAGUCUCCCCCUUCUUUCAGCCUGUGAAGAUAAGCAUACUACUCUGGGGUCAUCUAAGAAUUCUAGGGAUACAUCAAGUCACAUGUAUUAAAAUAAUGAAUUUAGACAUGAAUAUAAUACUGUAUAUGCCUAUUAUAUUUUGAAAGUUCAUUGGGACAAGCUAUCAAAAGAGAGAUUAUAGGGCCCUAACUGUCUGUUUCAAAGCAAAUUAACUUGACUUCUUGCAUGUCAUUAAGGACCUGCAUGGACUACACUCUCUGUAAAAUAGAAAUAUGUCUCGGAUAAACAUAUUACAAUACGUACAUACUUCAUAUGCUUCUAGUUGCCUGUAUAACUCAAGAAUAUUUGAUUUCCUCUCUAGUUAGUUCACCCAAGACAAACUUAGCAGCAAAUUUGGUUUUGAUAGUCCUGCCACGUCCGCACUCAUAAAAGUAUAUAUAUAUACUGUGAGACAUAGUAUGGCCAAAUAAGUUUAUGAUAAACUCGCCAUAAAGGUGCACACAUAUACACAGUAUAUUUAUAUGCAAGUGAAAAAAAAAAAGAAAAAAGAAAAAAAAAAGACAAUGCAUGUAUUAAGGUCGAAUAUCUUAGUUCCCCAGUAGCUUUCAGAUUCGUGGGCCAGAUGUAGUUAGCUUUAAUUAUGGUUACAAAGCAAAGCUCAUUUAAAGUUGAAUGAUUAAGGACAAUAAGUUGUGCAAUAUACUUACCAUUUGCGCCCCAUCCACACGUAAUAAACAAUCUAAAGUUGAAAGCAACCCCAGCUACCUUGUCAAUUAAUUAGCCGUUUUGUCUAUCAAAUACUACAACAACUAUCAUUUCCACCAUGCAUGUUUGUCCCCACAACAACAACAUAACCUAGCUUAAUUCUUUAUUGUAUAACGUCCAUAUGUCAUCUUGUGGUUGGAUAGUGAAUUAUAUAUUGUGGAAGUGAAGCAACAACAAUAAAAUUUCGGUCUUACUUGAUAACUCAAUCCAGUACUUAACGAUGAAUGAAUUAAACGAUUAUGUAACAAUUACUUGUGGUCUAUACAACUCAUUCCACCUACCUUCUUUACAAAGCAAUUCACCCCACAAUAUAUAAUGUAAAUAUAUAAACAUACCUUACAUAUUCAACAAAUGUACUCUCAUGGAUGAUGCCUAUAAUAAGAGCUCUUCCAAUUUGAUGCCUAAAACGCACACCUAAUAUGUAUUUCUUAGAAUGGUUUAGAAUUAGAAUUGAAGUAAACCUACAAAAUUACUGUUGUAAGAGACAUUGUAUUGAUCAUUGCAACUAAAUGCUAAAGUACAUGCGACAACUACAUACAUAAGACUAAUGACAAAAGAAAAGGGAAAUUCUAAAUUAUAGAGGAAGAGUUCUUGCCAAUUUGAUACAGAAUUAGAUACGUGCCCGGGUCUAAUGUUACUGAAACCCUCUGAACCACACCAGCAGUUCAUAUUAAAAAAAACUCCCCCUCUUGCAAUUCAUCCGGAAUUACAAGGAUUAAUUAUCAUCUUUUGCAAUACUUAAGCAUUUCCCAUAAAAUACUGUAUCAACUUCUGCUCUAGAUCACAUCUCUGCCCAGUAAUUUCAAUUUCUUGAAGACAAAUAGACAGACAACAAGGCACCACUUCUGGUUCAACAAAUUUGAAAUCCCUGGAAUCAUUAUGUUGCCACUGCUACAAACAAAAAUUAAAAGUUCAAAUUCCAUUAAAUGAUGAAGCUGCUCCAAAAUGGGUCCUACAACAAUUAACUCCAACAAGAAUGUUUCAUAUUUGCUCAUAAUCGUAGCACCAAAAACCUAUAAUGUUUCAGAAUGUUUUAGAUUUGCUUAUAAUCAUGAGAUAAAGAGACUACAUAUUAUGAUAUUGUAGUGUUCAUGAUUAUAAAGAGAUUAUGAUAUUAUCUGUUCUCAUACAUCCUUGCAAAAAUCUAGUAUUUAAUUAAGGAAAAUUAUCUGCUUGAAAUAUUUUUGGCAGAUCUAAGGAAGAAAUUCUUAGCAAAAUGUUUGUGUUUGAUUCAUAAAUGAUAAUUUUGUUAUUUCCCUUUUGUAUUAA
Cornus florida is the source of this 5143-nucleotide long non-coding RNA. RefSeq lists it as uncharacterized. The record is from RefSeq and is a predicted model, not a curated record. The transcript has 4 exons. NCBI's taxonomy places the organism in Eukaryota, Viridiplantae, Streptophyta, Magnoliopsida, Cornales, Cornaceae.